GACUCGGCUUUCCGGGCUUCGCACUAUUCGCGCCCCGGCAUAGUGCAGCAGUGAUGGGAGGGCUGCGUAGACUCGGUAAUCUUCUUGCCGGGAAAAAAACCAGCUUACGAGAGUUGCGAGAGCGGAUUACUUACGCGCCACCGGUUUCGCUGACGAAUGCGUCAUUAUUGAUCCACGACUGCUGCUGUAGUUUCUGUAUAGAGCCUCUCUUCCCUCGUCUUUUCUGGCCAGCGAUUUUCUUGCGCAUGAUGCGCGGCCUCCUGAGCUACACAGCCACCGCCCGUCAAGAUGAUGGGCUCUUUCUCUGCCCCUCCCCCGGUGCUGCCGCCGCUGCUGUUGCUGUACAAGCUCUACGACGCCGCGCCGCCAUAUGACCGAGCCGUGCUCUUCGCUGAUCGCGAGAGGAGGCAAUCCGCGCCCCUGCACCGGCUGGAAAGGGUCUCGGCAACUGGCUUCGACAUGCUUCCACACAAGCGAAUAACGUACAUGAAAGAACAACAACGAGAAGACACGACCAAUCUGCCAGCGCAAGUAUACUCGGGCGCAUGCGUGUGUGUCUCAAGGAACGACAUCGGAUCACGCCACUGCAAUGGAGCUCUGCGCGCUUGUCGACGGUCUCGCCCCGUGUCCAUUUUGCGAUGAUACCGCCCAUCGUGCUGACGUGCCGUGCGGCGCGCCUACCUGCCCUCCAACCAUGUCGGAUCUUUAAGGUCACAGAGUGUGUGCGUGUGUGUGUGUAUAUAUAUGUCCUGCCGACAACAAGCUCGCAGUGUUCUCUCUCGAGCACGGAAGCCCUCCGGAUGGCGACCGACCGGAAAGAAGGGGCCAGUGCUCUCGCCGUCGCGCAGUUCGUGCGAGUGCGAGCUGAGUUGGGCGGCGAGACCUGUUGCGGCUGCCGCGUUCGCCCACGGAGACGUCGAAAGGGUGAAGGGAAGCACGAGCACGGCGCAUUCACUCUAGCGCAGCGAACGGAGGGCCACCGCUGCCGCCAGAGAGGCGGUUGCUGCUCGCUGCUCGGGGGGAUUCAAUUUCCAUCGCAACCGCGCUGCUUCCUUCCUCCGUCAUGCUGCUCCUGGGCUUCCUUCCUUUUUUAUUCUCUCUCUUCUUGUUCGUCUCCGUCGUUCAGCAGUGGAGCCGUCCGCCGCCAGUACAGCCUCGCAGGCCUGCGUGGCCCGCGGCUGUAGUGGAUAGAAGGAAGCAGCGGCGCAGUUUUUUUAGCCUACUACGGCUAGGGCGGCUGCGCGAAGUCCGCGCAACGCGGUCCUCGCUCGCGUGCGCCGCGGCCACGCCUAAGCUUGCACGGUCCGACAGCUGCAUAAAGAGCGGACGUAAUUCGUAGUCUCCCGAUUUCCUCUUCCUCUUCGCGCUUCCUACGUCUGUUGGUGGCGUUCUCCCGUUCUCCCCACCCCGCGGUACUCGUCCCUCCCUAUAUUUUCUUUCCUUCCUCUUGACGCUGUUUCCUGAGCCCGUGAGAGCAUCCGCACGUCUAUGCGCCUAUCUUCGAGCCCCCGCGUAUACGCAGUCCUGCUUAUCCGUUUCGCACUUUCGCGUCUGUAGUAUGGCACCCUUCAGCGACCGUCACCUCUGUAACCGUAUCUGCAUUAGCUGCCGUGGUUGUACACGUCUAAGCUAUGCUUAUCUAUAUGUUAGUGUUGUUGCUGCUUCUGUUGUUGUUGCUGAUCCCAAUGGCGAGUGCACUAAUCGGCGCCUGUCGUGGGCGGGCUUCGUUCUGUGCCCGGCAGCCUGUCUGAGAACUUCUAGAAGUAGAGCGAGGCAAAGCGCAGCACGACCUCUAUGCAUGCACUGCGACGACCUUUACAACUUUUUCCCCAGCAGAUCUAUACGCUAGUAAGAAAAGACACUGCGUCUGAACGCAGUGCGCAACCUACUGAUAGUAGAGUGCCCCAGUUUCUGCCCGCCCUGUUCUUGUUCAGUAACGUAGAUUAUGGUUACACACAUUUAAGCUAAUGUGGCCGCCGUUGGUACCUUUCCUGUAAUGCCCUUGCGCAAGCGUUGUGUGUGCAGAAUGUUGGUCUCAACUGUACACGUCGACUACCGUUAGACAUUCCCGCAUAACCACUGUUAAUCUGAGCGCCACUUACAGUUUAUAACAGUACUUAAUUAUAAUGAAUAAUUAUGCACGCAGUUCUUAUGGUAGACAUGUAACUGUCGUUAGGCUUCUCUUAUUGCAUUGCGCUAACGGGAGACGUCGUGAGUGAGGUUUGACUUGACUAUGUGGUUAGCGCGGCCAGUGCUACUAUGGUAAUAGCCACUUCUAGGUACCAACAUUGUCCGUUUGUGCAUAUGGAAUCUACAAAAUUAAGCAACCCAGGCAAGAGGAAUGAUAAGAGAGAGAGAAAUUUAUUAACUGAAAGGCAGAGAGCGAGGAACUAUUUAAGCUAACUUAGAGCAAUGAUAAGUUAGCUUAAAUAAAACAUUGAAGGUAUAGUGCAGGAUAGAAACUGCUCUCUCUCUCUCUCUCUCUCUCUCUCUGCGGAGGUUGGUGGCCAUCUGUUGCUAGGACAGCGUCUUUGCGUACUGUGUUUAGUGAACGAAAAUUCUUAGUUUCUAGCCGCAUCCGUUGAUGGUGCAGACAGCUACUCACGCGCUAUUGCAGUUUUUGGAGACCACCGGCCUCAGUGGCCGAUUGUAGUACGGCUGAGAGUCCUCUACUGUGUGCGCAUAAUGCUCACUCUCUCCCUUCUUUUCUCUUUCCGUCCUCUUUUUCAUCAUCACCAGAGUAUAGACAAACUAGACAAUCAUCUGGCUGAUCUCCUUAAUUUUCCUCUCAUUGCUUUCUAUCUCUCUGUCACUUUCUCAAUAUGUUUCUUUGUUUUUUCAGAAUUGGCUGCUAAGGGUAUAAUUCAACCGGAUUUGGUGGAAUAUUUAGGAAGUGUCUUGAUUACAAUUAACAAAGUCAUGUUUCUUACGACAGAAAGUGGUGGCAUCUGUGCAAGUAUUUCGGUGGCGAUAGCGGCUAAUAGUGCAGUGAACAAAGACGAGGUUAUGCGUAUUGCAAAAAAGUUCUUCUCUGGAAGAUGACGUCAUCCGCAUGCGAGAUGCUGUUGAUGUCACACUAAAUUAACCUAAAAGCUGGAUGGAUCGCUUAGGUCUUCUGCUUCUUUUAAUUAGUACGCUGUGGAAGUAAACGCAACUCUGGUGCAAAUGCGUAUAGACCGUCUAACGACGUACAGGUAUAGUGUAAUCAAGUCAUGUGCUGCCUCCAGUCACACGAGUCAUCUGCCGAAGACUCCCGGGCAUCCUCACAGGAGCGGGCAUUAUUGUUUCACGACUCGCCUCGGCUGCGUUUGUCAGCGGCCUCCGGGGCUAUUUUCUGUCAUCAUUAGGCCGGCGCGUUCAGCAGGAAAGAAACCUGCAUCAUGCAAUAGAUUAGGUCCCACGGCUCCGGCACAUCGCUUCUCCUUGCACGUACAGCGUGUAAUCCAGAUUAACUGGCCGUAACAAGCCGCCGCUGUUUACCAGCGCAGCAGCGUUCGUGCGCUCUCGGAAUACCGAGAGACAAACCGGCAAUACGAAACAAUCAGAGAGAAGCGCGCGGAGAAAACAACAACGACGAGAAGGAUAUGGCUAAACCUUACGCCAAAAGCAAGCGUAGUAUGUAAGGAAAGAAGCAAAACAUUUCCCCGUGGUGAACUAAACGGAGAAUGCAGGCAUCCUGGCAACGGCGAGAGUGAGCAUAGGAUAGCAAAGCGGGUCUAAGAGCGAAGAGGGGAGAAGGUGCUGAUGGUGUGUGACCGAGAGUGCGCCUCAUCUUCGGAAUAGGUGGUCCGAGCAACUCUUCCGGCGGCUGGUCGUCAGGAAGUCGGCGGAAGCAGCGAGGGUAUGACGCGCGCAAAGCACAGCACAGGCUCAUCCGUCGCAGCUUCCGGGAGGCUGAGCCCGUCGACGCGCUGGCGGCACUAAAAGGGUGUCGUGCCGCCAGGCCGGCGUGGCUUACAGGGUGUCUCCGGUUCAUUACUGAUGCGUCUCAUGUCCGCCGCGCGGGGCCAUUGUGCCUCCGCGGCGAUCUGGCCGUCGAGUCGAUAGUGACUCUGCGCGCAGCACCCGUGCCCUCAAGCGAGAGUCGCCCACGCCCUCGCAACUUAUCCUCCCCAAACUCCGUUGCAGACCUCGCUCCCUUUCUCAUUCCGGGUUCUCGGCACCGCGAACUCCUGAGUGAAAAGCGGCGCUUCCUUGAAGCUUCCCGCGCUAAGCCCUCCCAACCUCUGAACGCGUCGCUGCUGCCGGACCCUGAUGUACGAGCUAAUUACGUGUCGUAGCGCGGGCGACGGACGUAAACAGGAUGCCCGCGAUUUUGGCGAGAGCUUUGCCUCUGCCCUCGUGGCUUCUCAUGUGUACACAUCAUUUGCGAGCCGCUCUCUCGCAUCCUUUGCUACAAAAGAGAAAAGGCACUGCCACAACCCUUCCCCCACCCGCCUUCCCGUGCGUCUUAUGAGAAAAUAUCGCUAAGUGUGGGUAAACACGCUCGAAGCGGCGCGUUACAAUCUCUGGCGCUAAGGUAAUGGAAAAUUUGUCAUCUCUGGUUUCAGGAAACUUGACUAGAGCGCAGGAACGCCCGUUAUGUAGUCCUGGAGAUUAAAGAGGUGAAAGUCUGUUAAAGAAACCUUUAAGAUGCAGUUAGAUCGUUUGCACUGAGUCAGCUAGCUAGAGAAGGCUCAUCUGAGUUUCAGAGCCGGGCUGGAUGGAUGGAUGGAUGUUAUGAGCGUACCCUUUAGAACGGGGUGGUGGGUUGUGCCACCAAGCUCUUGCUAUUAUACUGCCUAAUGUCCUACCUAGGUUAAACAAUAAAAAAAGAAAAAAAAAUGAACUACCACACCCAGAUUUUCUGAUCCACUAUUGCUAACUGUGCUUUUGUACGUCUCCGUUUUUUGUCCUUUCCCUAAUUUUCUUCCACCAAUCCUCCCACCGCAUCUUACUAAUGCCUAUUGCGGACAUGUUUACUUUUCCACUGCUCCCGCUGAACCCAAGGGCUUCAAGGAGGCCAGUAGUGCCUAAACCGACCGCUGGGUAGACAUCUUCACAUACUAAUAAAACAUGCUCCAUCGUUUCCCUAGCUUUACCGCAGCAAGCACGAGCUUAUUAUGCCUUCUUAUAUCUCGCUUUAUAGGUGCGUGUUCUAUGGCAUCCCGAUCUCGCUUCGAAAAGUAAUGAUCUUCCCUUUGAGUUAUCAUAAAUGCUGGAUAGCUGCUGUUCACUCCAUCUAGCAGUACAUAAAAUAGACAAUGCGCGCACACAAGCUCUCAUGAACAGUUGCAUUUUCCGUUGUUUCAAACGUGAUACAAACACGCGGAUCGUAAAGUCUGCGGAUUGUCAUUGCUUCCAUGCAUUUGUCCCACCCAAAAAUUAUGGAGAUCCAAAGAACAGUAUGGAAUCUAUGCGAAGCGAAGUUUUCAUGAAGCAUGCAAUUAAAUGUCAUACAACUACAUUGGAUGUGUACAGUUCCCGUUAUUUUCAUACUUGUUUGCUUACGCAGAACAGAGACAUACUCACUGGCACCACGAUGUCGGUCGAA
This is a long non-coding RNA of Dermacentor albipictus, 5533 nucleotides long. RefSeq lists it as uncharacterized. Lineage: Eukaryota; Metazoa; Arthropoda; Arachnida; Ixodida; Ixodidae. The record is from RefSeq and is a predicted model, not a curated record.